AUUGAACGCUGGCGGCAUGCUUUACACAUGCAAGUCGAACGGUAACAGGCCGCAAGGUGCUGACGAGUGGCGAACGGGUGAGUAAUGCAUCGGAACGUGCCCAGUCGUGGGGGAUAACUACUCGAAAGAGUAGCUAAUACCGCAUACGAUCUAUGGAUGAAAGCGGGGGACCGUAAGGCCUCGCGCGAUUGGAGCGGCCGAUGUCAGAUUAGGUAGUUGGUGGGGUAAAGGCUCACCAAGCCAACGAUCUGUAGCUGGUCUGAGAGGACGACCAGCCACACUGGGACUGAGACACGGCCCAGACUCCUACGGGAGGCAGCAGUGGGGAAUUUUGGACAAUGGGCGCAAGCCUGAUCCAGCAAUGCCGCGUGCAGGAAGAAGGCCUUCGGGUUGUAAACUGCUUUUGUACGGAACGAAACGGCUCUGGUUAAUACCCGGGGCUAAUGACGGUACCGUAGGAAUAAGCACCGGCUAACUACGUG
Molecule: ribosomal RNA, 482 nt
Filed under: uncultured bacterium
Lineage: Bacteria
Description: partial 16S ribosomal RNA
Rfam family: Bacterial small subunit ribosomal RNA
Source: RNAcentral